GCUAGCUACCACUACAAUGGUCCAAUACUAGUAUACGAGGUUUGCUUUGCCAGUGGACAGAUUCCUUCGCUUCUUCUCUAGAUUUGCUGAUGGUGUUGUGGUCACAAAGUAGCUAGGUGAAUACAGCUGUUGCCGUAGCUGAAAGCCAAAUUCUUGUCGAGCCGUGCAAGGCUGAAUAUACUCGGCAGAAUCUCACCUACACGGAUAGAAGGCUCUCACUACCACAGACGGUUGAUCAGGUUUGCGGAUUGUGGUACAACUGCUGCCGCCAAAGGCCUGAUAUUUGGAAGAUGAAGAAGAGAACCGUUCAAUGUUGUUCGGAAGAACAGGUGGAAGAAGACAAUGUUCACCUGCCCUACAGUCUUCGGGGGCGUCCUGUUGGUCUACGUCAGUUCUCAGAAAGCCAUACCGAGACGGAUUGUCAUCAGCCUGGGCCCGUUUCAGAUAGCAAUGAUCAAGGUGAUGUAGUGCACUCCACGGUCGUGUCCGAUCUGAAAGAUCUGAACACAGCAGAUAUGCAUCACAAGUUAGUGCGCCAAAGCUCGUGUAAUCUCCAUAGUCUCUUGUACGAUGUGUGGAUCUCAUC
Sycon ciliatum is the source of this 586-nucleotide long non-coding RNA. RefSeq lists it as uncharacterized. Lineage: Eukaryota; Metazoa; Porifera; Calcarea; Leucosolenida; Sycettidae. The record is from RefSeq and is a predicted model, not a curated record. The transcript is spliced from 3 exons.